This 397-nucleotide long non-coding RNA is filed under the name Homo sapiens (human). Its description in RNAcentral is "non-protein coding lnc-RAD23B-15:1". The record is from RNAcentral. Lineage: Eukaryota; Metazoa; Chordata; Mammalia; Primates; Hominidae.
UGCCCUCUGCCACCCCACAUUGCGGAACAGAGAUUGCAAAAUGUUGACCUGAGGCCAUAUCUGUCUUUCAGAAAAGCCUUGGCUUUUCCCAGAUGAGAAAGCAGAACAAGGCCAGGAGGCAUGGGAAGCGAUGGGUGCUCUGGUUGAUCAUAGGAGCUUCUCUCUCCAGAGGAGCAGGGUGGCAGGAUGCCCAGGGUGGUGGGAAAGCCUUACGUCUCCUGUUCUGGAGAUGAACAGGGCUUCUUCCUGAGAACUCUGGAUGCAGCCCAAAGCCUGCUCUGCCUUCCCUGCAGGCCAAUGAGGCCCAGAAGAUGAGCGCAGCUCUGCCUUGGGCACGUCUGUACCUGGCAGGACCUUCCUUUCCUUCUCCUUGGAGCCUGGUUGGGGGCACCAGCGA